RNAcentral lists this small RNA (123 nucleotides) under Marmota monax (woodchuck). The record is from RNAcentral. Lineage: Eukaryota; Metazoa; Chordata; Mammalia; Rodentia; Sciuridae.
GCUGGGCACAGUGGCACAUGCCUGUAAUCCCACAGCUCAGGAGGCUGAGGCAGGAGGAUUGGAGUUCAAAGCCAGCCUCAGCAAAAGCAAGGCACUGAGCAACUCAGUGAGACCCUGUCUCUA